Non-coding RNA from Collybiopsis luxurians FD-317 M1, 101 nucleotides. NCBI's taxonomy places the organism in Eukaryota, Fungi, Basidiomycota, Agaricomycetes, Agaricales, Omphalotaceae. The record is from the annotation of a GenBank genome assembly.
AGCCGACUAGCUCAGUUAGUUAGAGCUUCGUUCUAAUAUAAGGCAUAAAUGACAUGACUUGUAUUACGCGAGGGUCUUGAGUUCGAUCCCCACGCUGGCCU